GACGAACGCUGGCGGCGUGCUUAACACAUGCAAGUCGAAUGGAAAGGCCCUGCUUUUGUGGGGUGCUCGAGUGGCGAACGGGUGAGUAACACGUGAGUAACCUGCCCUUGACUUUGGGAUAACUUCAGGAAACUGGGGCUAAUACCGGAUAGGAGCUCCUGCUGCAUGGUGGGGGUUGGAAAGUUUCGGCGGUUGGGGAUGGACUCGCGGCUUAUCAGCUUGUUGGUGGGGUAGUGGCUUACCAAGGCUUUGACGGGUAGCCGGCCUGAGAGGGUGACCGGCCACAUUGGUACUGAGAUACGGCCCAGACUCCUACGGGAGGCAGCAGUGGGGAAUAUUGCACAAUGGGCGGAAGCCUGAUGCAGCAACGCCGCGUGCGGGAUGACGGCCUUCGGGUUGUAAACCGCUUUCGCCUGUGACGAAGCGUGAGUGACGGUAAUGGGUAAAGAAGCACCGGCUAACUACGUG
This 468-nucleotide ribosomal RNA is filed under the name uncultured bacterium. RNAcentral's name for it is "partial 16S ribosomal RNA". It matches the Rfam family "Bacterial small subunit ribosomal RNA", at positions 28 to 507 of the family's 1533-position model. The record is from RNAcentral.